RNAcentral lists this unclassified non-coding RNA (368 nucleotides) under Hevea brasiliensis (rubber tree). The record is from RNAcentral. Lineage: Eukaryota; Viridiplantae; Streptophyta; Magnoliopsida; Malpighiales; Euphorbiaceae.
GCGAGAAUAGGCUCUGAGGAAGUGACAAAAUUUUCAUAUUUUUCUUUAAUGAGUUGAGGAAGUGGGAGCACAUGUAAACAGAAGAUGACGUUUAGUUCUUCUUAGUUUUCGACUGCAGACCAUGACUAGAUCAAACUUUAGAGCUGUUGCACUUUUUAGGAUUACUGGAUUUUGUUUCAUUGAUUACUUUGUCUGAUAAUGUAGACUCUUUGCUAUGAACUGGAUUAGGAUGAUAAUGACUUCAAUGCCAUGUUAUUUAAUUGUUAGAAAUGCUGGUCAUCACCAGCUCAUAAUUUCUAUUUUGUGUACCAUAUGUAGGUUAAGAGAGGAGUGAUUUGAGUUAUUAUCUGAAAGAAGCAAAAUAAAAA